UAGGAGGCUGCCAUUAUUCACUCAGUAAGAUAAAAAAGAACGCCAGUUAGUGAAAUAAAUCAAUUCUACAUACUAAAUACUAUCUAAUACUGGCUAUACCUUGUUGUAAAGAGAGCAAAAGAGAGCUGUGCCUGAAUCAGCUAUCGUCACGGAGUUAUAGGAUGUAAAAUGAGUGAAAGAGAGCUGUGCCUGAAUCAACUAUCGUCACGGAGUUAUAGGCAGCAAAAUGGUGGAGGAGGUGAAAAGGCUACGCAGGGGAGGCCCAGUCCACAGAGGGAUAUUGAAUCACAUCGAUUCUUCACAUCCCAGAGACUUCCAGGGUUUAGAGAUUCCCAGUUCAGGAUCGAGACUCUGAACGUAGACAGAUUUCCCUUGAUUCAUUCUUCAUGGUGGAAGGACAAACGGAAACCAAACUCAU
Molecule: long non-coding RNA, 418 nt
Organism: Perca fluviatilis (European perch)
Lineage: Eukaryota; Metazoa; Chordata; Actinopteri; Perciformes; Percidae
Exons: 3
Source: RefSeq, a predicted model, not a curated record